RNAcentral lists this ribosomal RNA (502 nucleotides) under uncultured bacterium. Its description in RNAcentral is "partial 16S ribosomal RNA". It matches the Rfam family "Bacterial small subunit ribosomal RNA", at positions 28 to 507 of the family's 1533-position model. The record is from RNAcentral.
GAUUAACGCUGGCGGCGUGCCUAACACAUGCAAGUCGAGCGGCAGCGCGUUUUACACUUACUUCUGGAAGCUUCUAGUUGAAAGAGAAGAUUUAUUCUAGAAUUUUGUGUAAAUUGUCGGCUAGCGUCGGACGGCUGAGUAACGCGUGGGAACGUACCCCCAUGUGUGGGAUUACGCAUCGAAUGGUGUUCUUAUUCCUCAUUUGUUCUUCUUUUUAAAUCCUUCGGGCGCUUUUGGAACGGCCUGCGUAAGAUUAGAUAGUUGGUUGGGUAAUGGCCUACGAAGGCGACGAUCAUUAAAUGGUAAGAGAGGAAGAGCAGUCAGACUGGAAAUGAGACACGGUACAGAAUACUACGGGAGGCAGCAGUGAGGAAUAUAACAAAAUGGGCGAAAGGCUGAUGGAGCAACGACGCGUGAAGGAUGAAGGCCUUAGGGUAGUAAAGUGCUUUUAUAAGUGAGGAUUAUGACAGUAACUAAUGAAUAAGGAUCGGCUAACUACGUG